CCAAAAAAAUCUUCUAGCGAGGUUCUAGCCGCCCGUACCCCAAACCGACUCAGGUGGUUAGGUAGAGAAUACCAAGGCGAUCGAGUGAAUCGUGGUUAAGGAAUUCGGCAAAAUACCCCCGUAACUUCGGGAGAAGGGGGGCCCAGAGGGUGACGGGACUUGCUCCCCGAGCCUGAACGGCCGCAGAGACCAGGGAGAAGCGACUGUUUACUAAAAACACAGGUCCGUGCCAAGUCGCAAGACGAUGUAUACGGACUGACGCCUGCCCGGUGCUGGAACGUUAAGGGGACCGGUUAGCCUCACGGCGAAGCUGAGAACUUAAGCGCCAGUAAACGGCGGUGGUAACUAUAACCAUCCUAAGGUAGCGAAAUUCCUUGUCGGGUAAGUUCCGACCUGCACGAAUGGCGUAACGACUUCUCCACUGUCUCAACCACGAACUCGGCGAAAUUGCACUACGAGUAAAGAUGCUCGUUACGCGCAGAAGGACGGAAAGACCCCGGGACCUUUACUACAGCUUGGUAUUGGUGUUCGGUACGGCUUGUGUAGGAUAGGUGGGAGACUGUGAAGCUGACACGCCAGUGUCGGUGGAGUCAACGUUGAAAUACCACUCUGGUCGUUCUGGAUAUCUAACCUAGGUCCGUAAUCCGGAUCAGGGACAGUGCCUGGUGGGUAGUUUAACUGGGGCGGUUGCCUCCUAAAAGGUAACGGAGGCGCCCAAAGGUUCCCUCAGCCUGGUUGGCAAUCAGGUUUCGAGUGUAAGUGCACAAGGGAGCUUGACUGUGAGACUGACAAGUCGAACAGGGACGAAAGUCGGGACUAGUGAUCCGGCGGUGGCUUGUGGAAGCGCCGUCGCUCAACGGAUAAAAGGUACCCCGGGGAUAACAGGCUGAUCUUGCCCAAGAGUCCAUAUCGACGGCAUGGUUUGGCACCUCGAUGUCGGCUCGUCGCAUCCUGGGGCUGGAGUGGGUCCCAAGGGUUGGGCUGUUCGCCCAUUAAAGCGGUACGCGAGCUGGGUUUAGAACGUCGUGAGACAGUUCGGUCCCUAUCCUCUGCGCGCGCAGGAAACUUGAGAAGGGCUGUCCCUAGUACGAGAGGACCGGGAUGGACGAACCUCUGGUGUGUCAGUUGUUCUGCCAAGAGCACCGCUGAUUAGCUACGUUCGGGAGUGAUAACCGCUGAAAGCAUCUAAGCGGGAAGCAUGCUUCAAGAUGAGGUUUCCAUGGGGUUUACCCCGAGAGGCUCUCAGCUAGACUACUGGGUUGAUAGGCCGGAUGUGGAAGUGCGGUAACGCAUGGAGCUGACCGGUACUAAUAAGCCGAUAAC
This 1323-nucleotide ribosomal RNA is filed under the name metagenome. RNAcentral describes it as "bacterial LSU rRNA". It matches the Rfam family "Bacterial large subunit ribosomal RNA", at positions 1608 to 2925 of the family's 2925-position model. The record is from RNAcentral.